AUACGGAGGGUGCAAGCGUUAUUCGGAAUCACUGGGCGUAAGGGACGCGUAGGCGGGUUGGCAAGUCAGAUGUGAAAUCCUACAGCUUAACUGUAGAACUGCAUUUGAAACUGCUAACCUAGAGUAUGGGAGGGGGAGAUGGAAUUAGUGGUGUAGGGGUAAAAUCCGUAGAUAUCACUAGGAAUACCGAAAGCGAAGGCGAUCUCCUGGAACAUAACUGACGCUAAGGCGUGAAAGCGUGGGGAGCAAACAGGAUUAGAAACCCUAGUAGUUCC
RNAcentral lists this ribosomal RNA (275 nucleotides) under uncultured bacterium. RNAcentral's name for it is "partial 16S ribosomal RNA". It matches the Rfam family "Bacterial small subunit ribosomal RNA", at positions 523 to 796 of the family's 1533-position model. The record is from RNAcentral.